UUAGGAAAGGAGCUAAUAAGUCAGUCAAUGGAAUGAUUCCGAGAUGACACAUCAAGGACUCUUGUUUAACAUUGUAGAGCUUGAGAUUGCGUGAUCCUACGGAGAUGAGCUAUCAUCUUUGACCUUUUGACCGACCGUUGGAAUCGCGCUUAUAUCCUCUCUACGUAACGGCCCGGUCCAAAACGACUUCCAUUCACGCUCUCGUACAAAACCCUAACCAGCGCAUGGCGAUUUGGAUCCAGUUCUCGACGAAGUUUUAUUUGUAGUAAACGCCAUGGCCACCUCUCCAUCACGUAUUAAUCUUCAUCAUCUUCCACCGACGCGUACUUGGCCAUCUGAUAUCUGGGUUUCUGACCCGACUAUCUGGCAAAUUUGAUCGGUUGUGAUUGCGAGAUGGUGCGUAUCCAUCCCAUAGACUCAAUUUGCCUUCUAGAUCGGAGCACUUCUAUAUUUCUUCAGAUUUCCUUUCGAAGUGUUCUCAGGACAGGGGAGGAUUGGUGUAGAUUGAGGUCAUAUAAACUGAUGAACCAAAAAGCCACCUCUAGCUAUUGAAAUAGAAGUUGAAGUCAGGCCUUGAUACUAGUAAAUAUACUUUCCAAAUCUAAAUUAGGAGAGGAGCUGAAUGAUUCCUAGAUGAUAUCAAGGGCGUUUGUUCCAUGAUGUGGAGCUUGAAGAUUUCUUUUUACCUUUACAAGAUCGUUAUGGGGGCUGAAAUAUACUUCCGGUAAACCUCUGUUCAUUCGCUGAGCUUCGAUUUUUUCUGCCUAAUUUGGCCUUAUGUUUUAUUAGCACAUCUUCCUAUUUUUUUUGAAGUCCAAAUUGAAUCUUCUGCCAAAUUAGUAGUUAUUAUUUUCUUUUACCGUUACUCCUGUUUAUAUGUUUUUAUAAUGUUAUGCCAUGCCAUGGAUUGGGAAUUAUUAUUUUCAGAUUGGUCUUAUUUUAUUGUUGUACGGCUGUGAU
Momordica charantia (bitter melon) is the source of this 960-nucleotide non-coding RNA. Lineage: Eukaryota; Viridiplantae; Streptophyta; Magnoliopsida; Cucurbitales; Cucurbitaceae. The record is from RefSeq and is a predicted model, not a curated record.